UCGUGGUCACUAGGCGAAACGGCCGGUGCUUCAAUAGAGGACACCCCCACCACUGAAAUUUUCAGCGAGUUUGAAGACCCGUAUAUAAGAUUGUGCGUCAGAGUCACGGGUCAGAGUGUCAAAUUCGUCGGCUGAUGAAGAUAGAAAUUCUCAUUGGAGCACCCAAGGCGCGGGGGCAACGGCAGCGGCCUAUACUUACCGACUCACUAAUGAGCGGCUCGCCAAAGAUUCCCCUUAAGAAACAAUUAUACGGUACGUUGUACGGGUCGCAGGCCGAUGUACACGUCAGUAUUCAACCGGCUAUCUUGGGCAAUCUUCAAUCAUCCUCUUUGUGGGCAACGUUACAGACAAUAAUAGUCUGGAGUACAACAGCGCACGCGUGAUCAAAAGCAUUAGAUAUAUUAACCCUUUGCUCCCUUUAUAUUUUCCCGCUCUUUCUGAUCGAACGACGAUCUCGCCAGAAAAAAUAUCUGGAUUACUCCAGGAAUAUAAGCUCCAUGAAUACGACCGGUUAAAAAGUUGCGCUACACGUGGACAUAUAGUACAUACAAUGAAGAGGAUAAGAUAAUUUAUGCUAACGGAAUAUUGACUUGAAUACAAUUCUCAGUAGAUAAUUGUUAUUGAUUGAAACAAUCUUCCCUACGACCAUUGAAGCGUUUAUGAUGUUAGGGUUCAACACCUUAUGUUUUCAGUGUUGUUGAAGUUAGUUUUUUCACUACACUGAAAGGAAGAAAGUGUCCAACCCAAGAACACAUAGGUAUGUUUUAUUAUUUAUUCUCUCUGCCAGUGCAUUGAUAAAUAAUGGUGUUCGUUUUCCGAAAUUGUUAAAUCGGGGCCCACAUUAUUUGACAAGUACAUGCAUUUUUUAUAUCUCUUCAUACAAUAGAUUAAUGUUCAGUAACUCCAUGUGGUUAGAUCCUCAUUUGACACAGAUUGUAUUAAUUGUUGCGGAUGUUAGAAAUUUACUAAAAAAUACUAGGUAACCAUUAACAAUCGAUUUUUAUUAAAAUUUAUUGUCCAUAUUAUAGAUCGGGUAGAAUAUUUAUUGGUAAAUCAAGAAACAGGGUGACGCGGUAUGAAGAUGUUUUUUAGAAUUCCAAAAAACCACUGCAAUAGCAAUUUACUAUGAUAAAUAUACUUUGAAUUGUCCACUGUUUUCGUGAUGCUAAAUACGGAUCGGGUACCUACAUGCGUAUGGAGUCGAAAAUUACUUCGAACAGUUUAUUUUGGAUAAGUGUUAUUUCCGUAGUAACGGCUGCGAUUAUUUAUUGCAUAUCUUUUCUAAAAAGUUUUUUAACAUGCUGACCUUUCACGCGAUUGCUUGAAGAUACCGUAUUUUUUCUACAUACAACCGUGCACGCUUAACGCUGUAACCUUCAGCUGUUUAUAUGCCUUUACCUUCAAAUGGAGAGCUUACAGAAGCGUUGAAAAAAAUAUGCGCGAUUGCAAACGAAGAAAGAAUUUUAGAAUGUAGACAAUAAGACGAGGGUAUUUACAAAUAAUGGUGGCAACAAAUUUUACAAAAUUUUAACAAAUUUAUUCAUCGACAUGACGUAAAAAUGUAGUUAUAGAUUGAGAAAAUUGUUAGCCUAUUUCAUUGUUCGGUGACCAAUUGUAGCACACAGGUAAUAAAACUUGGUCAUUUCAACGACGCUACAAUGGCAUUUCUAAUCAUAAAUGAUUUAUGCAUCAGGCCUCAGUAGACGUGUUGAGCUUGGGACAUUUAUUACACCAGUUAGUAGCUCAAGGUUUAAUCAGUUGCAUCCUCUUUAGCAACUGCAAACGGCUCUUCGAUAGUUUCAGCACCAGAAUCAGCUAUCUUCACUUCCUUAGAUGGUUUGUCACGACUGUCCGUACUCAAGUUCUCGAUUUUCCUCACGACAU
This 1884-nucleotide long non-coding RNA is filed under the name Neodiprion pinetum (white pine sawfly). Its description in RNAcentral is "uncharacterized LOC124220406, transcript variant X1". Lineage: Eukaryota; Metazoa; Arthropoda; Insecta; Hymenoptera; Diprionidae. The record is from RNAcentral.